This 276-nucleotide ribosomal RNA is filed under the name uncultured Bacteroidales bacterium. Its description in RNAcentral is "partial 16S ribosomal RNA". It matches the Rfam family "Bacterial small subunit ribosomal RNA", at positions 64 to 339 of the family's 1533-position model. Lineage: Bacteria; Pseudomonadati; Bacteroidota; Bacteroidia; Bacteroidales. The record is from RNAcentral.
CAGCAUCAUCAAAGCUUGCUUUGAUGGAUGGCGACCGGCGCACGGGUGAGUAACACGUAUCCAACCUGCCGACAACACUGGGAUAGCCUUUCGAAAGAAAGAUUAAUACCCGAUGGCAUAAUUCUUCCGCAUGGUAGAAUUAUUAAAGAAUUUCGGUCAUCGAUGGGGAUGCGUUCCAUUAGGUUGUUGGCGGGGUAACGGCCCACCGAGGCGACGAUGCGUAGGGGUUCUGAGAGGAAGGUCCCCACAUUGGUACUGAGACACGGACCAAACUCC